Molecule: ribosomal RNA, 463 nt
Filed under: uncultured bacterium
Lineage: Bacteria
Description: partial 16S ribosomal RNA
Rfam family: Bacterial small subunit ribosomal RNA
Source: RNAcentral
GAUGAACGCUGACAGAAUGCUUAACACAUGCAAGUCGAUGGGGAAGUGGUGCUUGCCCCAUGGCAACCAUGGCGGACGGGUGAGUAACGCGUAAGGGACUUACCUGCAGGACUGGGAUAACAGGGGGAAACUCCUGACAAGACCGGAUAAUGUCAUGGAGCUGCAUGGCUUUAUGAUGAAAGGAGACGCCUGCGGAGAGCCUUGCGUCCCAUUAGCUAGUUGGUGAGGUAAUGGCUCACCAAGGCGAAGAUAGGUAGCCGGCCUGAGAGGGUGGACGGCCACAAGGGGACUGAGAUACGGCCCUUACUCCUACGGGAGGCAGCAGUGGGGAAUAUUGGACAAUGGGGGCAACCCUGAUCCAGCAAUUCUGUGUGCACGAAGAAGGUUUUCGGAUUGUAAAGUGCUUUCAGCAGGGAAGAAGUAAGUGACGGUACCUGCAGAAGAAGCGACGGCUAAAUACGUG